GAUGAACGCUGGCGGCGUGCCUAAUACAUGCAAGUCGAGCGAACGGACGAGAAGCUUGCUUCUCUGAUGUUAGCGGCGGACGGGUGAGUAACACGUGGAUAACCUACCUAUAAGACUGGGAUAACUUCGGGAAACCGGAGCUAAUACCGGAUAAUAUUUUGAACCGCAUGGUUCAAAAGUGAAAGACGGUCUUGCUGUCACUUAUAGAUGGAUCCGCGCUGCAUUAGCUAGUUGGUAAGGUAACGGCUUACCAAGGCAACGAUGCAUAGCCGACCUGAGAGGGUGAUCGGCCACACUGGAACUGAGACACGGUCCAGACUCCUACGGGAGGCAGCAGUAGGGAAUCUUCCGCAAUGGGCGAAAGCCUGACCGAGCCACGCCGCGUGAGUGAUGAAGGUCUUCGGAUCGUAAAACUCUGUUAUUAGGGAAGAACAUAUGUGUAAGUAACUGUGCACAUCUUGACGGUACCUAAUCAGAAAGCCCCGGCUAACUUCGUG
This 497-nucleotide ribosomal RNA is filed under the name uncultured bacterium. RNAcentral describes it as "partial 16S ribosomal RNA". It matches the Rfam family "Bacterial small subunit ribosomal RNA", at positions 28 to 507 of the family's 1533-position model. The record is from RNAcentral.